Molecule: ribosomal RNA, 496 nt
Filed under: Pseudomonas sp.
Lineage: Bacteria; Pseudomonadati; Pseudomonadota; Gammaproteobacteria; Pseudomonadales; Pseudomonadaceae
Description: bacterial SSU rRNA
Rfam family: Bacterial small subunit ribosomal RNA
Source: RNAcentral
AUGCAGUCGAGCGGAUGAAGGAGCUUGCUCCUGGAUUCAGCGGCGGACGGGUGAGUAAUGCCUAGGAAUCUGCCUGGUAGUGGGGGACAACGUUUCGAAAGGAACGCUAAUACCGCAUACGUCCUACGGGAGAAAGCAGGGGACCUUCGGGCCUUGCGCUAUCAGAUGAGCCUAGGUCGGAUUAGCUAGUUGGUGAGGUAAUGGCUCACCAAGGCGACGAUCCGUAACUGGUCUGAGAGGAUGAUCAGUCACACUGGAACUGAGACACGGUCCAGACUCCUACGGGAGGCAGCAGUGGGGAAUAUUGGACAAUGGGCGAAAGCCUGAUCCAGCCAUGCCGCGUGUGUGAAGAAGGUCUUCGGAUUGUAAAGCACUUUAAGUUGGGAGGAAGGGCAGUAAAUUAAUACUUUGCUGUUUUGACGUUACCGACAGAAUAAGCACCGGCUAACUCUGUGCCAGCAGCCGCGGUAAUACAGAGGGUGCAAGCGUUAAUCGG